This is a long non-coding RNA of Magnolia sinica, 519 nucleotides long. RefSeq lists it as uncharacterized. The record is from RefSeq and is a predicted model, not a curated record. The transcript is spliced from 4 exons. NCBI's taxonomy places the organism in Eukaryota, Viridiplantae, Streptophyta, Magnoliopsida, Magnoliales, Magnoliaceae.
UACUUUUUUUUUUCUUUCUCUAUAAAGUUUAUACUAGAGCAGAGUAGGCACUAGCUCAAAUAAAUAAUGAGUUCAAUUCGGCUAUUGCACAUUGAGCACACAUGCCAUUUUGAGCUGGUUUGAUGGAGAAAUCAGAGAAUAUUACCCUGUACAAAUUUGAUACCUGGUCUGUUUUUCAUCACCAAAUCCCCUGGUUGCUGGUGAGUCUUAUUAGUAAACACCUUCUUAACAAGUGCUGGGAUUCAGUCUCUAGGCCAAAAUGGGUAUGAAGGACGAGUUCGAAGCUUCUUUGCAAGUAUACUAUGGGGAUUUGACACUGACAUUUCUUUUGAAGUGAAUGAAAUCAAGAGAUCUGCAUCUUCCACAAGUAGGAGAACAACCAUCUGAUUUUCUGAUCUCAAGCAAAAAAGAUAUUGGUUUCCUCUAAUGGUAAGAAUUGGGUUACUAGUAUUGCAGCAGCUAAGUGGAGUCAAUGACAACCUAUUUUAUGCAAGUAAUAUUUUCAAAGCUGCUGGUAGG